This 451-nucleotide ribosomal RNA is filed under the name uncultured bacterium. Its description in RNAcentral is "partial 16S ribosomal RNA". It matches the Rfam family "Bacterial small subunit ribosomal RNA", at positions 28 to 507 of the family's 1533-position model. The record is from RNAcentral.
GAUGAACGCUGGCGGCGUGCCUAACACAUGCAAGUCGAGCGGCAGCGAGGGGUGCUUGCACCCUGUCGGCGAGCGGCGGACGGCUGAGUAACGCGUGGGAACGUGCCCCAAAGUGAGGAAUAACUGCCCGAAAGGGUAGCUAAUACCGCAUAUUAUCUUCGGAUCAAAGGAUUUAUCCGCUUUGGGAGCGGCUCGCGUCGGAUUAGGUAGUUGGUGAGGUAAUGGCUCACCGAGCCGACGAUCCGUAGCUGGUCUGAGAGGAUGACCAGCCAGACUGGAACUGAGACACGGUCCAGACUCCUACGGGAGGCAGCAGUGAGGAAUCUUCCACAAUGGGCGAAAGCCUGAUGGAGCAACGCCGCGUGCAGGACGAAGGCCUUCGGGUUGUAAACUGCUUUUAUAAGUGAGGAAUAUGACGGUAACUUAUGAAUAAGGAUCGGCUAACUACGUG